RNAcentral lists this ribosomal RNA (902 nucleotides) under uncultured soil bacterium. Its description in RNAcentral is "SSU rRNA". It matches the Rfam family "Bacterial small subunit ribosomal RNA", at positions 1 to 946 of the family's 1533-position model. The record is from RNAcentral.
UAGAGUUUGAUCCUGGCUCAGAAUCAACGCUGGCGGCGCGCUUAACACAUGCAAGUCGCACGAGAAAGUGGAGCAAUCCAUGAGUACAGUGGCGUACGGGUGAGUAACACGUGGGUAAUCUACCUCUGAGUGGGGAAUAACCCUGGGAAACCGGGGCUAAUACCGCAUAUUCUCGAGAGAGGAAAGCAGCAAUGCGCUGAGAGAGGAGCCCGCGGCCGAUUAGCUAGUUGGCAGGAUAAAAGCCUACCAAGGCAUAGAUCGGUAGCCGGCCUGAGAGGGCACACGGCCACACUGGCACUGAAACACGGGCCAGACUCCUACGGGAGGCAGCAGUGGGGAAUCUUGCACAAUGGGGGAAACCCUGAUGCAGCGACGCCGCGUGAGCGAUGAAGCCCCUCGGGGUGUAAAGCUCUUUCGGCGGGGAAGAUGAUGACGGUACCUGCAGAAGCAGCUGCGGCUAACUACGUGCCAGCAGCCGCGGUAAUACGUAGGCAGCGAGCGUUGUUCGGAGUUACUGGGCGUAAAGGGUGUGUAGGCGGUUGUUUAAGUUUGGUGUGAAAUCUCCCGGCUCAACUGGGAGGGUGCGCCGAAUACUGAAUGACUUCGAGUGCGGGAGAGGAGAGUGGAAUUCCUGGUGUAGCGGUGAAAUGCGUAGAUAUCAGGAGGAACACCGGCGGUGUAGACGGCUCUCUGGACCGUAACUGACGCUGAACACGAAAGCGUGGGUAGCAGACAGGAUAGAUACCCUGGUAGUCCACUCCCUAACGAUGCAUAUUUGGUGUGGGUCAUUCAGUGAUCCGUGCCGGAGCUCACGCGUUAAAUUAUGCGUCUGGCGAGUACAGUCGCAUGCUGAACUCAACGAAUUGACGAGGGCCUCGCACAUUCGGUGGGACCAUACUGGG